UGCUCUUCAGUGUGGAGUCCGUAGCUUGCAGCUAAUGACACGCAAUCAAGAACAGUCUUGUGCAGGGUGCUUGCAGUCUCCUGGACUCCCAGAUGUUUUGCUUGUAUGACCAUUUCAGAGCAUCAAGUGUGAAAUGCAGAAAGAAUCCAGAAUCAGGUCCCUCUCCUCAGCCCUAUGCUCUUUCAUAUUGCCUUGAACUGGAUGGAAAAAUGGCUUUGAACCAGAAUGGAAAGAUGGAAAGUGACAGAGACAUGGGAAGGAAGAAAUCCUCAACCUGGAAGUCUGGAUAAAGCCUCCUGCAAGCUGACAAGAAUAAUCAUAAACCCAGCAUAGUUAACAUUUGCUUAAAGCCUUCUCCUUUCUCAGCUCUAAGCCUGCAGUUUACCAAGAAUCUGACUUACCUACCAGAACUACCCAGUACAGUAAAAGGACUUGUCCAGAGAUCAUGCGACCUUGGUGGCUCUGAGUUUUUUACCUUAUCAAAUUAUAAUCCCAUCCAAGGCCACAUCAUAAUUUCAUCUACCAAACAGAAAGAGAAACAGGUAGAGUAAAGUUUUCUUAGCAACCCUCUGAGAUAUCAGUUACAAACCACAAUGCUUUGGAGGGAUCAUGCUAAGGCACAUUAAACCUGUAUUAAAAAUAAGACUGGUGAGAUGGUUCUUUAGGUAAAGCAUUCACAGUACAAGGGGGAGAAGCAGAGUUCAGAUAUCUAAAACUUACUUCAAAGCAAGAUAGGCAAGACAGCGGCCUAUAUCCCAGCACUCUGGGGGCAGAGAAAGAUCCUCAGAGCAAGCUGGAGAGCUAGCCUGGUCAAAAUGGGCUAGCUCCAAGUUCAAUGACAGAUCCUGACUCAAUAAAUAAUGUGGAAAAAGAUAAAAAGCAGCUGAAACAGACACACAAAUGCAUAUUGUCUCCUCAUAUUUCACAGAAAGAAAGAGAAAGAGAAUACUCUCUAUAAAUACCCAUAUCAUAUAUUCAUUCACAUAUCAAAUUUUAAAAACUAUAGUAAAUAAAAAGAAUAAAAAUUAUCUUAAUAAGCCGGGCGGUGGUGGCGCAUGCCUGUAAUCCCAGCACUCUCGGAGGCAGAGACAGGCAGAUUCCUGAAUUCGAGGCCAGCCUGGUCUACAGAGUGAGUUCCAGGACAGCCAGGGCUACACAAAGAAACCCUGUCUUGAAAAAAAAAUUAUCUUAAUAAACUAUUACUAUUCU
Long non-coding RNA from Apodemus sylvaticus (European woodmouse), 1209 nucleotides. RefSeq lists it as uncharacterized. The record is from RefSeq and is a predicted model, not a curated record. The transcript has 3 exons. NCBI's taxonomy places the organism in Eukaryota, Metazoa, Chordata, Mammalia, Rodentia, Muridae.